RNAcentral lists this ribosomal RNA (542 nucleotides) under uncultured archaeon. RNAcentral describes it as "bacterial SSU rRNA". It matches the Rfam family "Archaeal small subunit ribosomal RNA", at positions 457 to 997 of the family's 1478-position model. The record is from RNAcentral.
GCCAGCAGCCGCGGGAACACCGGCGGCCCGAGUGGUGAUCGUGAUUAUUGGGUCUAAAGGGUCCGUAGCCGGUUUGGUCAGUCCUCCGGGAAAUCUGAUAGCUCAACUAUUAGGCUUUCGGGGGAUACUGCCAGACUUGGAACCGGGAGAGGUAAGAGGUACUACAGGGGUAGGAGUGAAAUCUUGUAAUCCCUGUGGGACCACCUGUGGCGAAGGCGUCUUACCAGAACGGGUUCGACGGUGAGGGACGAAAGCUGGGGGCACGAACCGGAUUAGAUACCCGGGUAGUCCCAGCCGUAAACGAUGCUCGCUAGGUGUCAGGCAUGGCGCGACCGUGUCUGGUGCCGCAGGGAAGCCGUGAAGCGAGCCACCUGGGAAGUACGGCCGCAAGGCUGAAACUUAAAGGAAUUGGCGGGGGAGCACAACAACGGGUGGAAGCCUGCGGUUUAAUUGGACUCAACGCCGGACAACUCACCGGGGGCGACAGCAAUAUGUAGGCCAAGCUGAAGACUUUGCCUGAAUCGCUGAGGGGAGGUGCAUGG